AACGAACGCUGGCGGCGUGCUUAACACAUGCAAGUCGAACGGAAAGGCCCUGCUUUUGUGGGGUGCUCGAGUGGCGAACGGGUGAGUAACACGUGAGUAACCUGCCCUUGACUUUGGGAUAACUUCAGGAAACUGGGGCUAAUACCGGAUAGGAGCUCCUGCUGCAUGGUGGGGGUUGGAAAGUUUCGGCGGUUGGGGAUGGACUCGCGGCUUAUCAGCUUGUUGGUGGGGUAGUGGCUUACCAAGGCUUUGACGGGUAGCCGGCCUGAGAGGGUGACCGGCCACAUUGGGACUGAGAUACGGCCCAGACUCCUACGGGAGGCAGCAGUGGGGAAUAUUGCACAAUGGGCGGAAGCCUGAUGCAGCAACGCCGCGUGCGGGAUGAAGGCCUUCGGGUUGUAAACCGCUUUCGCCUGUGACGAAGCGUGAGUGACGGUAAUGGGUAAAGAAGCACCGGCUAACUACGUG
RNAcentral lists this ribosomal RNA (468 nucleotides) under uncultured bacterium. RNAcentral's name for it is "partial 16S ribosomal RNA". It matches the Rfam family "Bacterial small subunit ribosomal RNA", at positions 28 to 507 of the family's 1533-position model. The record is from RNAcentral.